This is a non-coding RNA of Bos taurus (domestic cattle), 72 nucleotides long. NCBI's taxonomy places the organism in Eukaryota, Metazoa, Chordata, Mammalia, Artiodactyla, Bovidae. The record is from Rfam.
UCCCUGGUGUUUCAGACGGUAAGGAAUCUGCCUGCAAGGCAGGAGACCCAGGUUCGAUCCCUGGGUCGGGAA